AUUGAACGCUGGCGGCAGGCCUAACACAUGCAAGUCGAGCGGAUGAAGGGAGCUUGCUCCUGGAUUCAGCGGCGGACGGGUGAGUAAUGCCUAGGAAUCUGCCUGGUAGUGGGGGAUAACGUCCGGAAACGGGCGCUAAUACCGCAUACGUCCUGAGGGAGAAAGUGGGGGGUCUUCGGACCUCACGCUAUCAGAUGAGCCUAGGUCGGAUUAGCUAGUUGGUGGGGUAAAGGCCUACCAAGGCGACGAUCCGUAAAUCGUCUGAGUGGCUGAUAACUCACAUUAGAGCUGGACCGCGGACAAUGCGCCUGCGGUAGGGAGCAGAGUCCAACAUUGGACAGUAGGGGAGAGUAUGGUACAGUCGUGCGACGUGUGAUGAAGAGGUCUUGCGAGUGUAAAGAACGUUAUGGUGGUGGAAACGGCAGUAAGUUGUUACCUAGCUGGAUUGACGUUAAUAGCAGAAUAAGCACCGGCUAACUUCGUG
This 484-nucleotide ribosomal RNA is filed under the name uncultured bacterium. Its description in RNAcentral is "partial 16S ribosomal RNA". It matches the Rfam family "Bacterial small subunit ribosomal RNA", at positions 30 to 507 of the family's 1533-position model. The record is from RNAcentral.